GUGCAGCAGUCGCGAAAACUCCGCAAUGCGCGAAAGCGUGACGGGGUCACCCCGAGUGCCGUCCGCUGAGGAUGGCUUUUGCCUGGUCUAACCAGCCGGAUGAAUAAGGGGAGGGCAAGUCUGGUGUCAGCCGCCGCGGUAAUACCAGCUCCCCGAGUGGUUGGGACGAUUAUUGGGUCUGAAGCGUCCGUAGCCGGCCGGAAAAGUUCCCCGUUAAAUCUGGCGAUCCAAUCGUUGGGCUGCGGGGAAUACUCUGCGGCUUGGGGGCGAGGGAGGUCGGCGGUAGUCCCGGGGUAGGGGCGAAAUCUUAUAAUUCCGGGAGGACCACCAGUGGCGAAGGCUGUCGGCUAGAACGCGCUCGACGGUGAGGGACGAAAGCUGGGGGAGCGAACCGGAUUAGAUACCCGGGAGUCC
This 414-nucleotide ribosomal RNA is filed under the name uncultured archaeon. Its description in RNAcentral is "partial 16S ribosomal RNA". It matches the Rfam family "Archaeal small subunit ribosomal RNA", at positions 330 to 747 of the family's 1478-position model. The record is from RNAcentral.